CACAGUAGUCCGAACUUUCUUAUGUUGUUACGUUUUGUUCAUUAAAUAACUAAUUGUCGGAUUCGCAUUUUACCGUCAAUUAGCAUUCACUGUUCUUUUUGGUACGUACCAAGCAGUGUAAGACAAGGAACAGAGAUUUCAGAGAGUGCUCAACCACAUUGCUCUACUGUAAAAUGGCCAGAUACUGCUUUGAUUUCCCAUGCCAGUAUUUCUCUACUAAAACAUCCUUAUCUGAAUGGUUGUCGUGAAUUUGAAAAGAUUCUCAUUGUGGCCAGCCAUCCCAGAUGUAAGAAAGGUUGGCAGCAAAAUUGUCAAUUUUCAUGAUUUGUCAAUCACAUUCCAAGUUGAGGUGGGGGUAUGCUUCUUAUUAAAUUUAUCUUGAAUUAAGGAUGAGUGAAAUGAUUGCCUAAUUACAAAUGACAGCUUGUCUGCAAGUUUAUUUUAAAGUAACACUCACAUACACAACACAACCAAUAUUAUCCUUAUUUGUUCU
Long non-coding RNA from Daphnia carinata, 493 nucleotides. RefSeq lists it as uncharacterized. The record is from RefSeq and is a predicted model, not a curated record. Lineage: Eukaryota; Metazoa; Arthropoda; Branchiopoda; Diplostraca; Daphniidae. The transcript has 3 exons.